RNAcentral lists this transfer RNA (73 nucleotides) under Paramuricea clavata. It matches the Rfam family "tRNA". From Rfam's summary of the family: Transfer RNA (tRNA) molecules are approximately 80 nucleotides in length. Their secondary structure includes four short double-helical elements and three loops (D, anti-codon, and T loops). Further hydrogen bonds mediate the characteristic L-shaped molecular structure. tRNAs have two regions of fundamental functional importance: the anti-codon, which is responsible for specific mRNA codon recognition, and the 3' end, to which the tRNAs corresponding amino acid is attached (by aminoacyl-tRNA synthetases). tRNAs cope with the degeneracy of the genetic code in two manners: having more than one tRNA (with a specific anti-codon) for a particular amino acid; and 'wobble' base-pairing, i.e. permitting non-standard base-pairing at the 3rd anti-codon position. Lineage: Eukaryota; Metazoa; Cnidaria; Anthozoa; Malacalcyonacea; Plexauridae. The record is from Rfam by way of RNAcentral.
GGCCGCAUAGCUCAGUUGGUAGAGCAUUGGGCUUGUAUUCCAAAGGUUGUAGGUUUGAUUCCCACCGUGGUCA